This is a long non-coding RNA of Drosophila biarmipes, 6778 nucleotides long. RefSeq lists it as uncharacterized. NCBI's taxonomy places the organism in Eukaryota, Metazoa, Arthropoda, Insecta, Diptera, Drosophilidae. The record is from RefSeq and is a predicted model, not a curated record. The transcript is spliced from 2 exons.
UGAUAUUAUAAUCAAAUCAGAAGUUGAAGCCCAAACAUGUUUCUGCUGUGCAUUCGUUUUUCUGAGUAUUUGCCAAAAACCAAAAUGCUGAUAAUAAGAACAUGAAAACUGAUUAAAGAUAAUAUCAACAAAUAGAAGUGUAUAUAUAGACCAAAUUAAAAUUAGACGGGCAGUCCGAAAUGAAAAGCCAGAGAGCGGUUGCGUAACCGGACUCUCUAGUUCACACAUUCACUUUCUCUCUCUCUUAUACCACCCAUUAGUGAAGGUAGAUAAACAUUGGAAUAGGUCGGGGACAUCAGUAGAAACUAUUCGAAUCCGUUGGCAUUAAUUUACGCAACAACGAAAGAACACAUUCUCGUUUUUACUUUAUUCAUGAACAAAAGCUGAAGGCAAGGCCGAAGUCCACUCCGCCAAGGUUUAUCCGUUUCGAAAGCCCAUAUCAAAUGGGUUCCUUAGAAUCUGCCGUCCCUGAUAAACAACGAAGAGCACCAGUCCAAGAGCCCAAAGUUCACUAGUUAUGCAAUCGCCCAAACUCACAGCUCAUGUGAUAUGCGGGUGAUAUUAAGGGCAUACAGAUGUGAAGCUUUGUUUCAGUCCGCUUCGGCGGAGUGCAUUGAACUGGCCCCAAAAUACAGAUCUUCUGGUCGGUCAUCCCUCGGAGCAGAAGAGUCGUAAGCGUAAACUGUGAAUACGUGUUUUGUUUGCGAAGAAAGAUAACAUGAAAACAUAACGAAGACUGCGCAAACAACUCGAUUCGGUAUUUAAAUAUAUGCAAAAUGGAAAAAGUUUGCGAAACAACCGGCACAGUGGGUUUAAGGUGGCUUAUACUGGCAGACAUCUUUUAUUUUUAGAAUAUUUUUUUGGUAAAACCUCCAAUGUACAGUAGAAAGCUUCUAUUAGUCGAACUUUGAGUUUCAGACUUAAUUAGCCUCUGAAUAAGGGAUGCAAUUUUGAAUGCAUAAAUUGUCCUUCAAUUGAUUUUACUAAGAAAAUGAAACAGAAGAGGUUUAGCUAAGUAUAUGGAAAGCUAUUGGCGUUCAACAUUUUAUUUCGACUACCACUGUGCACAGCUCAAGUGUUCAAGUGGCGCAAAACAUAGGCGAAAGUUGAUUAGCUGCCGUUGCAGGUUAAUGAAUGGAAAUGACAUGAAAAAUAAUAUCAGAUCGCUUGGAGUAACACUAUAGGUCGGGACAACAAUUCAACACAGUUCACUACUGUGCUACCCGGAAUUCGAACUCCAAAGUUUCAACCCUAAGUACACAAAAAGAGACGUACUUAUGAAUGAGAACGCGCGAGUGGCGUGCUGGAAGCAAAGGUUAUGUCGAGUGUUCUCUCUAACUAAGCAAUCACUGUCCGGCUGAAAACAAUAAGGAAAUUGUGCGCAUUAAGCCUGUGAUUACUGUAGUCCGUACUUUGGACGCGAUGUCGCACAUGGGGGAAAAUUGGUGGUUGCGCCUAAACAAGCACUUCUCUAAAAACUGAUUGAAUCAGAUUCGUAAACCUUGGGGCUAGUGGCACACACCCGGCGUAUGCGUAUGUCUCACGAUGAUUGCUUUAAGCGGUGGAGAAGGUUGACAGCAUCGGCCGAAAAAUUAAAACAAAUCGUAAUUUACAUUACACACAUUCAGAAAUACUUUAACUAAUUGCCGAUCCAGUAGAGAUAAAUGGGUAGACUGAAAUGCCAUGUCCGAAAAGGUUUGCUGCUUAUAAUCGCUUUAUAAUAACGUUUAUAUAUAAAUAUUUUAAGUAAACAGUAGAAUCCAGAACAGGCUCGGGGUAAUUGUGGGUGUUUCGGUUCAAUGGGUUCAUAUAUUAGCACGCGUUACGGUUCGGCUAAGUGCAGUUUGAAAUAAAAUCAGGUAGAUUAUCUGAUAAUCCACACAAAAAUACGAAGUGUUAUUUUAGAUUUCUGUUCAAUAUUUCUCCAGUCACACUUAAGCGAUUGUACAACGCAAAACUGUUUCUAAUUUGAGGGGGAAACUCGCCUAAUUGCUUCUAUUAAAACAAAGGCACAAACCUUGUAUUAAUUACGACUGACAAAGGUGGGUACUUGUAACUGUUUUUCUCAACUGCUGGGGUGCUAGAAUACACAGGCUUGUUUGGUUUUCGUAUUGAUUGCUAUUAUUGCUGGCGAACUGCACGUCAGACUGCAACCGGCUGAAAGGCAUUGUGCAAACGAACAGCACGUUGUGCUUGAUUAAAUCACAAAACACACCUGGAAACGCCACGGAAAUAAAGAGAAACAAGUGGAGCAAGCCUCGAACUUGAAAACCUCUUUUGGUGGUGCCUGCAGACUGUUUUCGAUGGCACUGCAACUUUACAAGACGGAAAGCCAAAAAACGAGCUGCCAAAGUCCAAGAUCGCUUCGAGCUCCAACUCAGACAUUACGAAACCGCCAAGCAAUGCCAAAAUAAAGCGCUCGACAUUAAUUGUAUAGAAUGGCAUCAAAGAAAACUAAGCCCGCAAAGAACACGUCACCAGAAAUGCCCCUGACAUAGACGUGUCCACUUACGUGGACCUCAGUUGCGUUUAUCGCACAAAUAUUUGGUGCACUUCCCUCUGCUGUGCGGAGUUGCGCAGCAGAAAAUACGAGUGACUCAACUUUCAGCUGUUUUUGUUUGUGAAAUACUUUCUCAGCCCCAGUGGUCGCCACCUGUAUUGAUCAAUUCUCCCUCGAUCAGCGCUUCAUCGUUGACAGUCGACGCUGCUACAACGCUCCCGUAAAUAUUACUUGAACUUUGGCCAAGGUGCCGGCUUAUGGGAAAUAGCAGGGGGCACUGAUUGCCUUGACAUUGACCGGGACAGGCGGUGGUGUGAAGUAAAAUGUGAGAACGCGACAUUACUCUGCCCGCCGCGAGUGCGCAUAAUGCAAAAUUUAAAUUAAACUGCAACAUUUGAUUCAUUUAUUUUCAUACGGGCGGCAUUACGUGAGUGUCUGCUAUAUCUCCGACAGCCCGCUCCACCGAGCGGUCGUUCUCCAACGAAUAAUGGGUCGCAGUACACACAUAAAAACGGGAAAAAGUGCUCAAACGAGAUUGCAAUAAAGACAACAAUACUACACAGAGCGAAAGCAUUGCUCAUUGGGCAUCUUAUUUGAAGGAUCCACAAUAGGAUCAAUGACUUUAUAAUGGCAAAUAUGAUUCGGCAGAUAGGGAUUCCGAAAAGGGCUUUGAAUGCUCAUUCUACUAAAAGAGCAUCUGACUUGGAUCAUUAGGAAUCACAUUUUAAGAUCUAUGAGACACAGAGUAUGAAAACCUGCAUAGCCAAAGUCGAAUUAUGUUGAAACAUCGGGUCCUCAUCCCACAGAUAAUAACUCCAAAUCCAAUGUUUCGUAGAUCAGUUUACUUGCUAUUCUGUAUAUUUUCCCCGUACAAUCUAGAAUAGUUUCCUGUGUGGCCUCCGCAGCAUCGGCCAGUGAGAAGCACACUUGCACGGGGCGUUGGAUGCUUCAUUGAAUGAAAACGAGCCUCAGAGAAAGAGUAGCAAACAUGGCAAACAAACAAGCGAGUGGCCGUGUGGGUGGGUGUGUUGGGGCGAACUGAAAAUAAAUUUGAUUACGCCUGGGAGAAAGAGAGAAAGGAGGGUGAACUACACCCACUCACCCGCGGGGGGAAAGGAGAUCGGCGGACUCUCUUUUGCACUCGCUCACUUCGCAUGAAUGCUCGAGAUACGAACGCGACGGUGUGUGUGUGAAAGUAAGGCAGCCGCGUAGCGCUAAAAUAAAUGACCUAGACAAGCGCGUACUUAUCUCUAGAGUGACCAUCGAGCGCGGAGCACGUGCUCGAGUGAAAUUUUCCAGAGGAAAACAAACUUUGGCAAUGAUCGUGAGGGGCGGGGGCCGCUGGCAAAGUCAAAGCCCGGUUUAAUCGAAGCGGUACUGCGCGAAACCGGUUAGAAAAUCUACCAAAGUCAUGACUAAAACAAACACAAAUAAUGCUCAAGCGAUCCAGGGGCGUAGAUCGCAGGGGUUUCUACUAGCGCUCGUGCUGACAAUCGCUGUGGGCCUUACCUCUUCUCGAUCCCCUGCUCUCCAAGCCACUGACUUGUUUUCUAACCUGCCACUUGCCAAACAUAGAACAUUUUUAAAUCGCAAACGAGAUACGAAAAUUGGUUGGCAUGCCAACCAGAAAUAGAAACGGAAACAAAGCAACGAUUCCAGAAUUAAAGCUUGCGAAAGAUUAAAGGUAAAUUAGGCAGUUUAUGUUAUUAAAAAAUUAUUGUUUCUUUGGACACUAUUUAACAGUAAACCUACAAGUUUGUAAAUUGAAUGAGUUUUGUUAUUGGCUAACUAUUUUUUGGUCGAAUUGAGAGAAAUCAAAGUACUCAAAGAAACCAGAAAUGAAUACUCCCACUUUAUUUCCAUAAAAGAACACCAUUGGAUAGCAAUAGUUCUCGGUCAAUGCUAUCAAAUUGCAUCCUCCAUUAUUUGAAGUCAGUCCUUAUGCACCAAAUCGAAUUAUUAAAACCAACAGAGCGAGAAUUAAGGAGGAGAGAUGUAGCGCAACCGCAGCUGUUGCAUCGGGUGAACUGCCAAAUCCAGGGGUUGGGCAACAGGCCGAUUACAGAUUGUCGUUACAACCCGAAUUCCAGGGGUGGCCCACGACCGAGGCGGGCGGGACAUGGGAUGUGGGGUGUGGUUCAGACGACGUGCCCAGACAUCGCGUGACUAUUUUUGACUCUGCGCCCGGUGAGACAAGGAGUAUUGUGGAAUGGAAAACGAGAAUCCGAAACUGCAGCUGCACUGUAAACUUUUCUAGGGUAUCGAUUAAAAUUACAAAAGGCAGAAACAUUGAAUUUUAUUUUACACUGUAUAUUAUAUACUGCGGUGGGAUUAGAAACAAACCAGAACGUUACUGCACACAAAAUCUUGUGGGUCAAGUUGCCCAAUAUAAUAGUAAAAUGGGCCCAACACAUACUAUACACAAAACAUACUAUUUUGCGGUAUUUUGACUACUUUGCGACACAAUUUUUAAAAGUUCCUAAUUUUUUUAGAUCAGUAGAGGUCCUUUUAAAUUUUUUUGGCUGAGAGAUCAUAUACCAGUUCAAUCUACUGAAGUUUUUCAGUGUACAAGUGCAAUACAGUUUCAGUUCAGUGCGGCUACGGGAAAAGUCACGAGGCACUGGGCGAAAGGAGGGUGGCACUUUGGGUGGUUGGGUGGCAAGCGGCAGCACUGUGGCACGUUUUUCCUCGAUAUACCAGCUGAAAAUCGUAUGAGUUUCAGGGGAAACGUUGCCGCCGCGAGCCUAAAACAAAGUACAAAAAUAAUGCGGCGAAGAGAGGGAAAUGAGGCAUGUGAGUGCGAGAGUACUGUACUGUGUCUCAGGGCGAAGAGCGCUUGAGCGAGAGAGAAAGCCGGGGCAGGGACCCAGGGGCAAAGGGUGAAAGGUCAAAGAGCAAACUGUUUACAUGAGGCAACCGCGACGAGAGGCGAUGGAAAACUGGGCGGUCUGGCCAUGAAUGAAAGCUGAGACCGGCAAACGUGGCCCGCCCACGGGGCGAACGCCUUCCGUGUGGGAGGGCGUCGUCGCAGGUGGUGGAACAAUGGGCGCUUCACCAGCCAACUUUCUUCCGGACGGUGUUCCUUCUGCUCAACCUAUAUUUUCAGUUUCACAAAAAGGCUUAAUUAUAAAUGAUAUCUACCAAACAUAUUUUUAAAUUUUGAAUUGACUCGAAAAAUGUAAUAGAAUAAGAACAGUAAAGAGCUUCUUAGUGUAAACAUUGUCUGCAUCCAAACAUUAGUUCCAUCCAAAAGCAUCGAAAGUUGUAGGUGCCUACAUAAACUUAGACAACUAUGUUUUACCCGCUUUUAUAUUGUAGUCUUUGCUAGCUAAGUAUUUUAUUAUUACCUCGCUAAAGCUGCCACAUUGCACUUCUUAAAAUCAGAUGCCUUCAUUGGCUCCCUCUUCACUGCUAAAUAAUUAUUUAAAUACUACCUUUUUGGCCCGGACUAGACCUACUUUCGGACGUGGACCUUCAGCUUGCUAACCGCAGGACUAUCUGAACUUUUGGAUCGCUCGCAGCUUGAUGGGCGGCCCAACGUGCCCCCGCCUAGCAGAAAACUACUACCGGCAGCGACGAUGUGAGCGAUAUUCCGAUUAUUAAGUGCUUCCACCUCGGCUGUCUGAGGCGCGUUUCCGGCCACAGUGGAAGCCGCGCCCCAGAAACAACGGCGUGGCAGGAAAAGUGCAACCUACCCACCCACCGGCCACCCACCAGCCCCACCACCCACCGCCCACCGCUCAGCUGGUCGCGAGGUAUGGAAAACAGAUGACACACGGCGCCCACGGAGAUAAAACUCGCCUGAUUUUCAGUUGGUAUAACAAGCCGAGACAAAGAGAGGGACACAUCCAGUGCGAGGGCCAAGAGCGAGCUUGCGCAGAACGCGUUACAAGAAGAUUACACGUGCGAGCCAAGUAGGGGAAUCCGCCAAGAGCGCGAGAGAGAGAGCGCAGGAGAGCGGUUUUGUUUAUGUGCGUAGGCCUGAAGUGGAACGGGACCCUUCGCUCGCAUCUAAUUACAAUUUAAACUGCCUUGGGAAAGAAUGCAAUUAACAGGUUAAGAAUAACGGUAAGGCAGUCGUCGAAUGCAGUUGGACUUCGAGAAGUAGAACUACUCCAACUGAAAAUUCAGAGUGAGGAAGAUACAUUUCAGUCUAUACAGUUCUAAAGGGAUUUUGAUUACAUUAAGUACAAACGCACACGAUAAAAACUAUAAUGUUUAUUAAUAAGGUCAAAGCAUGAAACAAAAAGAGAAAUAAACUAAACUGUACUAAUACAA